GUCCACGCUGUAAAACGAUGAGGACCAGGUGUCGGGAUCGAAUCCCGGUGCCGGCGUUAACGCAAUGAGUCCUCCGCCUGGGGGAGUAUGCACGCAAGUGUGAAACUCAAAGGAAUUGACGGGGGCCCGCACAAGCGGUGGAGUAUGUGGUUUAAUUCGAAGCAACGCGAAGAACCUUACCAGGCCUUGACAUAGGAUGCGAAGACCCAGAGAUGGGUUGGAGGCUAUCAUCCAUACAGGUGGUGCAUGGUUGUCGU
RNAcentral lists this ribosomal RNA (257 nucleotides) under uncultured bacterium. RNAcentral describes it as "partial 16S ribosomal RNA". It matches the Rfam family "Bacterial small subunit ribosomal RNA", at positions 793 to 1055 of the family's 1533-position model. The record is from RNAcentral.